AGGGAGCCCCUCUCCCCUCAGCCACAGCCCCAGGUGAUGCCUGUGGCCUGCAUCUCUGUCCUCCGGAUGAAGGCUCCUCCAGACAAGGUCUGUUCACCCCAUCUACAGACUGCAGACCAAGAGACCCCCCGGGCUUGCUAAUAUCCCCUGGUACUGCCAAGAUGAGAUAUUAGUGCUGGGGUUACCAGGGGCUGAAGGAGGAUCCUGCUCCCCCCAGCUGGACAGAUGUGCAGACGAGAGGCCCAGCGCUGACCUGGAUCCUGAAGCAAGAGGGACAUCCCAGAUGGGGUCCUCCCUGAGGGUGCCCGGACCUCAGGUCCCACCAGAGAUGGCGGAGGAGGAGACAGCACGAGGAAGGCCAGG
This 363-nucleotide long non-coding RNA is filed under the name Heterocephalus glaber (naked mole-rat). Its description in RNAcentral is "lncRNA (ENSHGLG00100044790.1)". Lineage: Eukaryota; Metazoa; Chordata; Mammalia; Rodentia; Bathyergidae. The record is from RNAcentral.